Long non-coding RNA from Mangifera indica (mango), 929 nucleotides. RefSeq lists it as uncharacterized. The record is from RefSeq and is a predicted model, not a curated record. The transcript has 2 exons. Lineage: Eukaryota; Viridiplantae; Streptophyta; Magnoliopsida; Sapindales; Anacardiaceae.
UGUGGACACAAAUUCCCUUGACUGUCAUUUUAAUAUUCUCUGGAUUUUCUUGCCUGGAAUUGGAUUAUGUUACUAACUACUACUUAAUUAGGUGUUGUAUGGUUACAGAUAUGUUUUGCUGCUAUUUGGUUCUCUAGGCUAUGAAAUGGUAAAGGGAUGGCAAUUGAAAGCUUGCUAUUAACUAGUAAUUAAUUAGGUGUUAUAUCCAUUGCUGCUUGGCAUAACUUUUGGAGAAAUAAUUUGAUGUGAAAUUUGCUAAUCAUCUAGCCUCACUCUCUGUACAGGGGCUGUUGAGUCCUUGGUUAACAGCGGGAAACAAAUUGAUGCCGUACAUUUCAUCCAUGCCUUCCAACUUACUGAAAGCUUUCCCCCUGUUACCCUCUUGAAGACGUACUUAAAGAAUUGAAGAAGAAACUCACAGGGAAAGGGUGUGAGUUCGGGCGGAGAUACUAGUGCACAGAUUGAUGAAAAUGCACAUGAACUUGCUGCUUUGAAAGCUGUAGUUAGUUGUGUCCAAGAGUACAGGCUUGAACCUGACUAUCCUCUUGAUCCACUUCAGAAAAGGAUUGAACACCCCAAGAAACAAAGAGCAAACUGAGGAUACCGUGGAUUUCUUUCUCACAGUGGCAAGGCAGCUCCUCGUAGGCUUGUUCUGCCUGUUUUCUGAUGUGUCGUGCACUUGCGAGCAAGCAAAACGCAACAUUUUCUUUGACAGGGCAGCAUAUGGAGGAAUGCCUGAGAGAUAUCCUGUGGCUGGUCAAAUCUCUUACGAUUAUCAAGUUCCUAGCCAGCCUGGUUUUGCUCAGCAACCAAAUGAUCAAAGAAUAUGCCUUUAUCCCCAAGAUGUAGUUAUCAAAUGCAAGAUUUGUGUGCAACCUUAGUGAAUGUGCAGAGAAUUUAUUUGUGAGUGAAUGACAUUUUCCCACCCA